Long non-coding RNA from Drosophila sulfurigaster albostrigata, 2059 nucleotides. RefSeq lists it as uncharacterized. The transcript has 2 exons. NCBI's taxonomy places the organism in Eukaryota, Metazoa, Arthropoda, Insecta, Diptera, Drosophilidae. The record is from RefSeq and is a predicted model, not a curated record.
UUUGUAGUUAUCUUGAGAAUAAUAUAUUUUACACAUUUGGAGUUCCAGAAGUCAUCUUAACAGAUAACGGGUCACAAUUUAAGUCUAGUUUAUUCGAAGCAUUCCUAACCAAGUUUGGUAUAACACAUCGUUGUACAGCCAUCUAUUCGCCUCAGGCUAACGCAAGCGAGCGAUUGAAUCGGUCAGUUUUAGCAGCCAUUCGUGCUUAUAUUGGCAAUGAUCAUACUAAUUGGGAUGCAAAUCUAAGUGCCAUUAGCGGAGCGCUAAGAGCAACCAUGCAUCGAAGCACUGGUUACUCACCAUAUUUCUUAGCUUUCGGUCAAAAUAUGAUCUUAAAUGGAAAAGAUUAUACUUUGCUUCGUAAUUUGGAUCUUUUAUGUGAUGACGUUGCAAUCCAGUCACCUGAUGCUUUACAAUUGGCUCGACAAGACGCGAAAAAUAAAAUAAGUCAAGUUCAUGAAGAGAAUGCCAAUAGGUACAACUUAAGAAGCAGAAAUGUUCAACUAAAUACUGGUGACGUAGUUUUUGCCAGGAAUUUCACUCAAAGUAAUGCUGGAAAAAGAUUUAGUUCAAAGUUGGCACCUUUAUUUAUUCAGGCAAAAGUAAUCCAGAAACGUAGUUCUUAUUAUUAUGAGUUAGCAGAUCUAAAUGGGAAAAAACUUGGUACAUUUCAUUUAAAAGAUAUAAGAAUUAAGAAAUCACAAUAGUAAGGCGAUAUCGAUAAUGUCUCUUCGGGUAUACCCUGUGCCAUUAUCUGGGGUGGGGGUGUGUAGUGAGCGAAAAAUAUAUUGUAAUAAAAGAAGUUCCAAAUUUCCCAACUUUUUUUUGCUGUUCUAAAUAUUGACGCACCCUAACUUAGUCAUCUCACUAUCUGCACUUGCUUAUCACUGUCUUCGCAAAGCUCUUGCAAAAGCUCGGCUUACCAUGCGGUGCAGUGGAGUACAGUCGAAAGUGAAGCGAGCUUAGCAUUAGAGAAAAAGCAAUUAGUCAAAGCAGACGUAUUUAUUGUCUGUCGGCCACCGAAUUUUAUAAUCCCACGUGAAUCUGCGAAUUAUAUAAUCUGGCAGUGGCAAAAUACCAGAUCGACCCCAAGUGAGAAUAUAUGUGAGGAUAGACGUCUAUAUAUAAAUAAAUAUAUAAACAGUGCAGUGAUAAAUUUCAUAAUUAAUACAGGCAUAGAAUCCCCAGAAAUUCGGCUCAUCGAGCUCGGCACUGGCGGAUGGUAGCCUCUGUGGGCCACUAAUGGUCCAUUCAACCUCUAUUACAACUAUAGAGCGCCGUGUGGCCCUAGUGAACAACUAUAUAUUGGGUGCACAAAUUUGGUCGGAGAUCACAACCAGAUUGGCUGCCCAACGGAGUACCAAAAGACUGUGAUUCUGACCGUCCCCGACAUACACCCGAGAUCACGGCCAAGUUUGAUUUGAAUAUUAGCGGAGCACAUACAGGCACAUACGCCUGAAAACCAAGAAUACACUGGAUGAGUAGUGCAUAGUACAACAACAGUACCACAAUCCACAAUGCAACAACAAUAAGUUCAGUUAUAUUGUAUCAAUCUUUCUGCAUGCUGCUAUGAUUUGCUGAGAGUGACACGAAUUACAUCGUCUGUGUCUUCUAGAUAUUUUGUAUUAAAUUAGUAACAUAAAAUUAAUAAUUCUAAUGGAAAAUUGUUGAGGCAUACUCGUGGAUGCAACAAAAAUGAAUUAAUUCUAAUUUUUGGUACAUUUAUAUUAAUUAUCUGUAUAUUUUCUCAUAUAGUAUUAUAUCAUUAUCAACACAACAUUAUCAUCGUCACUCAUCUUCGUCAUGGUACCACGACAGUAAGAAAACGACAUCUGAGUAAGUUAACUUAAACAAGUAGAUGUUACAAAAGGUAACUUUAAUGACACAAAUGAUUAUAUAAAUGUGCCUAAUUGUUAAUCAAAUGAAAUUAUCACGAGUACGUCUCAGACUUGAAUUAAUUUUGUAAAUAUUAGUAAUCAUAUCACAUAUGUAUGUAACAAACGGAGUAUCAUGAAUUCUUUAUUAAUUAAAAUUUCACAUGAAGUGAUUAAUGAAAUAA